UGCACGACCACCACCUGAUCAGAGCACUGUGAUGUCCUUACAUUGAUGGAUUGAAGGCCAGAGGUCCACAUGAACAUCAUCAGCAUUGUCUAGUUGUUCUGCGUGAAGCCUGAAACCCAUGAGGACUGAUUGAGAUCACUGAUGAUGCUGGGCAUCGGACGAUCAUCUUCCAGGUUUAACAGAGAAAAAUGGAUCCUAACGGCAACAUGUACAGGGAAAAAAAGAACAGGGGCCACCCUACACGUGAAAUAGGGGCCGAGGAUGAGGAGAGUAUCGACCAGGCUGACCGAAACGCUUCUGCCUGUGAGGGCGACCUGAAGCAACCCAGAGGAGCUCCUGGA
Polypterus senegalus (gray bichir) is the source of this 341-nucleotide long non-coding RNA. RefSeq lists it as uncharacterized. The transcript has 3 exons. The record is from RefSeq and is a predicted model, not a curated record. NCBI's taxonomy places the organism in Eukaryota, Metazoa, Chordata, Cladistia, Polypteriformes, Polypteridae.